Molecule: transfer RNA, 71 nt
Filed under: Loxodonta africana (African savanna elephant)
Lineage: Eukaryota; Metazoa; Chordata; Mammalia; Proboscidea; Elephantidae
Rfam family: tRNA
About the family: Transfer RNA (tRNA) molecules are approximately 80 nucleotides in length. Their secondary structure includes four short double-helical elements and three loops (D, anti-codon, and T loops). Further hydrogen bonds mediate the characteristic L-shaped molecular structure. tRNAs have two regions of fundamental functional importance: the anti-codon, which is responsible for specific mRNA codon recognition, and the 3' end, to which the tRNAs corresponding amino acid is attached (by aminoacyl-tRNA synthetases). tRNAs cope with the degeneracy of the genetic code in two manners: having more than one tRNA (with a specific anti-codon) for a particular amino acid; and 'wobble' base-pairing, i.e. permitting non-standard base-pairing at the 3rd anti-codon position.
Source: Rfam by way of RNAcentral
ACAAUGGUGAUGCAGUGGUAGAUACCUCUCCUUCCAUGCGAGAGACCUGGGUUCGAUUCCCAGCCAAUGUA